RNAcentral lists this long non-coding RNA (3900 nucleotides) under Sus scrofa (pig). RNAcentral's name for it is "lncRNA (ENSSSCG00040075456.1)". The record is from RNAcentral. Lineage: Eukaryota; Metazoa; Chordata; Mammalia; Artiodactyla; Suidae.
CACCUUGGCUGUGAAACGGGGUGUGUGUGGAGGGGUGGUGGGGAGGGGGCAGCCUGCGGGCGGGGACGUGGAGACGCGCAGGCUGGGGGCGGCGCAGGCGGGCUGAGGGGUCCUGGGCUCGCCAGGGCCUCGUCUGGGGUUAUGACUCCCGCGGGAAGCACGACUGCUUCGGAGAGUUCUCCACCGCCUUCGAGGAGAUGCAGAAAGCCUUUGGGGAGAACCAGGUGAGCGGGCCCUCCCUGCCCUGCCUGUGGGCGAGCCGGAAGCGCUGGCCCUGGGCUGGGCUGUCCCAGAAGCUGUGAUGGCUUUAGAGAGAAGACCGGUGACGACGGCGGAGAAUGAUACCCGCUGGCCCAGCAGGGGGCUGGGGUCGGGACCCCAGGCCUGUGUGGAAGCUGGAGAAACGCCCUCCAGGGCGAGGGAUUUCAGGCUCCCCCCCGGCCCCAAGGUUGGGUGUUGGGCGGUGGCGCUCGGGAUGGGGGUCUCUGCCUGUCCCUGUCCCCCCGGCCCAGUGGGACUGUGUGAACCCCAAGUACAAGCAGAAGAGGCGCAGUUACAGGAACUCGGGCGUGGUCUUGCUGGCAGACCCGAAGGUGGCCGCUGACUUCACCCUCGGAACAGCUGCUCCCUUCACUAUAUCAACUCCUUCCAGCCCAGCGAGUACCUGCAGGCCCUGGUGGCCGUGGGCGAGAUCUGCCAGGACUAUGACAGGUGCGCUGGCCUCCCCACCCCGGGCGCACCCCCGCUGUCCCCCUCACCUUCACACAGACCCAGGCUUCCGAGUCCCACUGCACAGACCAGUAAACUGGGGCUGUGGGGGCCAAGCUCCCACACCGGUGGCUCUGCCCCUUGUCUGCGUGCAUGCUGGGCAGCUCCUUUGUGGCUUUUUGCCUCAGUUUCCCCCAUGUGGCUCAGGGUGGGGCCUGGCCCCCCCAAAAGGGUCAGCCUGGUCUCCUGGUUCUGUUGAUGUCUCCCCCCCACCCCAUCCCCAGGAGACCAGGGCCCUGGGUGAUGGGGCCACCUCUCUUUCAGCGACAAGAGGCUCUCUGCUUUGGGGUUUGGAGCCCAGAUCCCUCCCAAGGAUGAGGUAGGAGGCCUGGGUCCCGGGACCCGCUGGUUGCUGCCUCCGCCCUCCCCUGGGAGUCAGCUACUGUGUGAUGGGCAGUAGACAGGGUUCAGGGACCAGCCUUCUGGCCAGAGGUCUGACCUUUGACCUCCCAGCACCAGCCCAGUGAUCCUAGGGCUGAAGAUAAGCCCUGUGGCCCUGUCCGGAGAAGGGGGACAUUAGUCCAGAAUCCUCCAGUGAGAAGGGAUUUUAGCUGGCUUAAGCAGGAACUUGGUGGGGUUUAUCAGCUAAUGAAACUCAGGAGCUUCAGGUCUGGCUGGAUCCAGGGCUGGAGCGAUGCCCAGCACUAGUCUGUCUGUCCACCCUCUGUCCCCAGUGACUCCCGCCCAUGGGCGCUCCAAACCUGCUUCCCCCAGUGGGUCAGGAUAGACUGGCUGACCGGUCCUUUCUGUGCCCGCCCAGGUGUCCCAUGACUUUGCCAUCAAUUUCAACCCGGAGGACGGUGAGUGUGAAGGUAGGAGCUCCAGGUGCCUGGACUGGGGGUGGGGUGGCAGCGAGGCCGGCUCGUGCCCUUCCCCCCGCAGGCAUCCAGGGCAUGGUGGAGGCGUCCCAGAACUGCCUGCCCAGGGUCCAGCUGUAUGGCCACCACGUGGCUCCCAUCAUCUCCAAGGUGGCCUGCACGGCUGCAGCUGAGGAACGCAGCGGAGAGGCUUCUGUAGGCGGUGGGCGGGCACUGCGGGGACCGCGUGCCUUAGAAGGUGUGCCUGCUGCUGGGGAGGUGGGACCGGAUGGGGGUUUGCAGAGGUUGACAGAGCAGCCCGCGGGAGGCCCUGAGGCAGGGAGCGAGAGGCAGCUGGGUGGCAGUGGGGCUGAGAGACCAGGAGGCCCCAGAGCCAGUGGGGUAAGGUGAAUUCUUGCCCUGGAGGCUGACUUGCCGAGCCCGCAGGCAGCCCGAUGCUUAUGGUUCUCUUGGUCCUAUUGUGCAUACGUCGUUAUUUUGUUUGCAUGUGUUCUUGUUUGGUUUUUUUGCUUUUUGAGGGUUGCACCCAAAGCAUGUGGAGGUUCCCAGGCUAGGGGUCGAAUCGGAGCUGCAGCCACCGGCCUACGCCAGAGCCACAGCAACGCGGGAUCCGAGCCGCGUCUGCAACCUACACCACAGCUCACGGCAACGCCGGAUCGUUAACCCACUGAGCAAGGGCAGGGACCGAACCCGCGACCUCACGGUUCCUAGUCGGAUUCGUGAACCACUGCACCACGACGGGAACUCCCAUACAUCGUUAUUUUGUUUGCAUGUGUUCUUGUUUGGUUUUUUUGCUUUUUGAGGGUUGCACCCAAAGCAUGUGGAGGUUCCCAGGCUAGGGGUUCAAUCGGAGCUGUAGCCACCGGCCUACGCCAGAGCCACAGCAACGCGGGAUCCGAGCCGCGUCUGCAACCUACACCACAGCUCACAGCAUCACCAGAUCCUUAACCCACCGAGCAAGAGCAGGGAUCUUGCUGCAACCUCACGGUUCCUAACUGGAUUCGUUUCCGCUGCACCAUGACAAGAACUCCUGUUUGCAUGUGUGUGUUUUUUUGUUUUUGUUUUUGUCUUUUUUAGGGCCACAUCUGCGGCAUGUGGAGGUUCCCAGGCUAGGGGUCUACUCGGAGCUACAGCUGCCGGCCUACACCAGAGCCACAGCAACGUGGGAUCCGAGCCAUGUCUGCCACCUACACCACAGCUCACGACAAUGGGGGAUCCUUAACGCACUGAGUGAGGCCAGGGAUCGAACCUGCAACCUCGUGGUUCCUAGUUGGAUUCGUUUCCGCUGCGCCAUGAUGGGAACGCCUGCGUGUGUUUUUAAUUUGCACAAAUAAUACUGAGCUAAAGGCUGCAUUCUACUCCAGUUUUCAUCCUGUUUUGUAGAUCUGCCCCUGCUGCUGUGGGCAUGGCUUCUCUGUUGCUUUCUUUCAAGUUUUUUUUUGAACAAAACCCUGAAAGAAUGGAGGGAGAGCCGGCAGCUUUGGCGCCUUCCCCGGGACCUCUCCUGUCCCUGCGUGUUCCUCUUUCCUCCUUCCCGCCGUGCGAGAGCAGGCUGACCGCCCCGGAGUCCUCCGGGUCCAUCUGCUCACAGCCAGGACCCUGUGCGCGGCCGCAGUUCGGCUCUCAGGCCCACAGUGAGGGCGGUUCCCUCCUCCCACCUCGCCCCUGCAUCUCUCUGUCCCCAUCCCAGGCCCCGCAGACCCAUGUCCCAUGUCCGGGGCCCCUGACCAGAUCGUUCCUCUCAGCCCUGCUCUGUCCUCGGGCCGCCCGUCACCGGAGCCGUGCUCACCGCUGUUGCCCCUUCACCCCGUCCCACCUCGAUGCUGCGGUUCCUGAAUGGCACCCUGGCACACGUACCAGUUUCGAGUGACUGGAUUUAGAUCCGGUGCCUUAUAGAACAUCCUGCGUCUGCCUUCGCCGCCCCAACGGUGGUUCCAUUGCACUAGGAUUUCUGGCGCAGGAAAGGGUCACGUUCGGUCAUGUCCCCGUGUUAUGCUGGAGCAAGUCUCGGACACAGAAUUUCAUUUGUAAACAUUAGCAUAAACCCUGAAAGAGAGAAAAUGGAGGCCAAUGCUUUUGUCACACCUGAAACCCAGUGACAGUUCCCCGGUGUGAGAUGUCCAGCCGCCUUGUCCACCAGCGACGGCUUUUCCAGGAGGAGAAGGGUUAAAGGUCAGGGCCUCGACCUGGCGGUGGGUGUGUCCUUCCUGCUGUGAGACCCCUGCUCCCUUGGUCCCCUGUGUAUGUCCACGAGCGCCCCCUGGAGGCUGCUGACCUUGCCCUUGGGGGCCCGCCCCUCCUGGCUCCUGCAAGG